RNAcentral lists this ribosomal RNA (309 nucleotides) under Triticum aestivum (bread wheat). RNAcentral's name for it is "partial small subunit ribosomal RNA". The record is from RNAcentral. Lineage: Eukaryota; Viridiplantae; Streptophyta; Magnoliopsida; Poales; Poaceae.
AUGUCGAGGAGGUCUUUCUCUGUGAUGGUCGACUGGAUCCAGUCUCCUUGGACCCAGCCCUUCGGCAGGCGGGAUCUGGAAGAAGACCCUCCGCGGCUGGUAGAUCUCCCCUUCGCCUUCUCCGACGCCGACGCCUUCUUCGCACGUUCCAGCGCCGCCGUCUUCUCCUUGGCCAUAGUUGCCGGCGAGGUGCGCGUGGGGGAGUUGUGCGGGGGCGAGAGCGAGCGCGCUGGACGGGGGCGAAGGGAGCAGAGAGAGAGAGAGAAUGCUGAGGCUCAGUACAGAAAUCCUCGCCGGUCGCAUUUAUAA